AAAUUUUAGUUUAUAAAAAAUUAUUUAUUUACAUUAAAUAGAAUUAAAUAUUAAAUUUAAAAAUUUUA
This 68-nucleotide transfer RNA is filed under the name Melipona fasciculata. Its description in RNAcentral is "tRNA-Val". The record is from RNAcentral. Lineage: Eukaryota; Metazoa; Arthropoda; Insecta; Hymenoptera; Apidae.